CGGUGGAGUAUGUGGUUUAAGUUCGAUGCAACGCGAAGAACCUUACCUGGUCUUGACAUCCCGGAGACCCUUAGGAACUAGGGGGUGCUUCCAUCUGGAAGAAUCUGGAGACAGGUGCUGCAUGGCUGUCGUCAGCUCGUGUCGUGAGAUGUUGGGUUAAGUCCCAUAACGAGCGCAACCCCUACCUUAGUUGCCAUCAGGUUAAGCUGGGGACUCUAAAGGAACUGCCUACGCAAGUAGUGAGGAAGGCGGGGAUGACGUCAAAUCAGCACGGCCCUUACGUCCAGGGCUACACACGUGCUACAAUGGCCGAUACAGAGGGCAGCUACCUGGUGACAGGAUGCAAAUCUCCAAAGUCGGUCUCAGUUCGGAUCGGAGUCUGCAACCCGACUCCGUGAAGUUGGAUUCGCUAGUAAUCGCGCAUCAGCCAUGGCGCGGUGAAUACGUUCCCGGGCCUU
This 458-nucleotide ribosomal RNA is filed under the name uncultured Sphingobacteriales bacterium. RNAcentral describes it as "bacterial SSU rRNA". It matches the Rfam family "Bacterial small subunit ribosomal RNA", at positions 930 to 1382 of the family's 1533-position model. Lineage: Bacteria; Pseudomonadati; Bacteroidota; Sphingobacteriia; Sphingobacteriales. The record is from RNAcentral.